RNAcentral lists this ribosomal RNA (253 nucleotides) under uncultured bacterium. RNAcentral's name for it is "partial 16S ribosomal RNA". It matches the Rfam family "Bacterial small subunit ribosomal RNA", at positions 524 to 776 of the family's 1533-position model. The record is from RNAcentral.
UACGUAGGGGGCAAGCGUUGUCCGGAUUUACUGGGCGUAAAGAGCGUGUAGGCGGCCAUACAGGUCCGUUGUGAAAACUGGAGGCUCAACCUCCAGCUGUCGACGGAAACCGUGUGGCUAGAGUCCGGAAGAGGAGAGUGGAAUUCCUGGUGUAGCGGUGAAAUGCGCAGAUAUCAGGAAGAACACCAAUGGCGAAGGCAGCUCUCUGGGACGGUACUGACGCUGAGACGCGAAAGCGUGGGGAGCGAACAGG